RNAcentral lists this long non-coding RNA (1111 nucleotides) under Gopherus agassizii (Agassiz's desert tortoise). RNAcentral's name for it is "lncRNA (ENSGAGG00000009549.1)". The record is from RNAcentral. Lineage: Eukaryota; Metazoa; Chordata; Testudines; Testudinidae.
AGCCAGGUCAUGAAAGACUAUUUUGUUCAGCAUGAGAAUAAAAUACUGAGAAAAAUUCAAUCCCUAACUCACCAUUCCUAUGAAGUAGCAUAUGUUAGUGAACUGCAACAGAGACACUGUGAGAUACAAAUAAAAGCUACUCAAGAAAAACUGAAGACCCUUCAGGAGAAGAUGUCAGAGCUAAUAAGGCGAAUUCACCCAGAGUUGUUGACAGAACUCAGGAAGUAUUGCCAGUCAGUCAAGGGAAAACAUGAGGGUGACCAUGUAGAUGACUUAGAACAAAUUGAUGGCUAUCUUGAAGAGCUCCUUAAACAAGACAUGUGCCAAUCUGGCAUUGUAAGAUUUCCCAGUGUAGAUGCAAACCCAGCAGAUUUAGGAGAACCUGUCAUGCCAUGUGAAGAAAUUGUGGAUGCUUUCAAGAACUGAGGUGGCUUGGUCUCCAUUGCUCAUACAUUUAUACUAUCACAACUUUUAGGAACACAUUAGAAAAUUAAUCUUAACAUAAAUACGAAUGUAAACUGUUAACAUUGAAAAUUAUCAUGGUUGGAUUUUAAUAUAAUUUUGCUCAUGUUUUUGGGAAGUUGAACCUGUCAGCAUCUCCUUUGACUUUUUGUGCAUUAUGCUCUUGAGAAGUUGUUUUUAAUUUACCUUUGAGCUAUAAACACUACUUCUCAUUGUUUGAUGUAGAAACUUCAUAGAUACACACAGACCUGUGUAUCAUAUGUUAGUAUUUUGUAGUAAUAGAUAUUAUUGAAGAUUUACAUUUAGUCAAUGAAGAUAAAAAACUUGAAAAAUGUUAUUUUAGAGUAUCUUUGCUACAUGUUUCCUAUUACUGGAUAUUACAAAUACAGUUGUUUUAGAGAGCUUGCAAACCUUUGGCUAAUUUAUUUAUAUUUAUGAAGGGACUGUUUCUGGCUAUUCAGUAUUUAGUCUACUUUAUUCAUUCAUUACACAGAGAAACUCCUUAGUACAGAAGUCAAUGAGAGCUUGCUUGAGUGGCAAAUUCCAGACUCAACCCUGUAUAUGAUAGCAUAUUGGUAGACUGCUGCACCCAUACAAAGUCCCACUGAAGGACUGGAGCCCAAGAAAAGAAUUCAGCAUUUGAUCUAUU